GGAGCGCGACGCUCUCCCCAAGGACGAAGCCAUGCAUGCCCGCUCACCCGGGACGCGGCGGACGGCUCAGGACGACGGUUGCACCCCCCGCGGCGGUCCCUGCUAGCCGGACACCGCUGGCAACCCGGCGCCAAGACGUGCGCGCAAGGGCGGGCGCCCGCGGGCGAGCAGCGUGACGCAGCGACGGCCCGCCCGGGCUUCCGGGGCAUCACCCGGUCGGCGCGGUCGCGGCGCGCCGGGGGCCCGACG
Molecule: ribosomal RNA, 249 nt
Filed under: Giardia duodenalis
Lineage: Eukaryota; Fornicata; Diplomonadida; Hexamitidae
Description: Giardia intestinalis partial small subunit ribosomal RNA
Source: RNAcentral